CCCCUUGCGGUUAGCCUACCUACUUCUGGUGCACCCCACUCCCAUGGUGUGACGGGCGGUGUGUACAAGACCCGGGAACGUAUUCACCGCGACAUGCUGAUCCGCGAUUACUAACGAUUCCGACUUCAUGCAGUCGAGUUGCAAACUGCAAUCCUGACUACCACCGGCUUUCUGGCAUUGGCUCCAUCUUGUUGCUUAGUCUCCAUAUAAUAAAAUACAAAAUAGAAAUAGACCAUAACGAUAUGAUAAGCCUAACAAUGAACAAAAUAUCCUACCUCACUUUCGCAGAAUCCUCACCAUGUUAUGACUAUAUACAUAACUUUAUAACUUUAAUCCACUUAGGCAUGAUACAAACAAUUGACAACGCAUCAGCCAGCCGACUCAUCUAGCCAUAUUUCGCAAUCGGCAUCAACAACACAUCUGUCCCAAUCUUAAAAAAGAUAACAGAUACGUAAGAAGUUAGCAAACG
Molecule: ribosomal RNA, 469 nt
Filed under: uncultured Pseudomonadota bacterium
Lineage: Bacteria; Pseudomonadati; Pseudomonadota
Description: uncultured proteobacterium partial 16S ribosomal RNA
Source: RNAcentral